Long non-coding RNA from Neomonachus schauinslandi (Hawaiian monk seal), 1019 nucleotides. RefSeq lists it as uncharacterized. The record is from RefSeq and is a predicted model, not a curated record. The transcript is spliced from 3 exons. Lineage: Eukaryota; Metazoa; Chordata; Mammalia; Carnivora; Phocidae.
UGUUGUAAGCUCCAUGGGGACAAUGAUUUUUCCCACAGUGUGAAGGAAUUCCUGGAGCCGCUGUGUCCUGAUCAUAUGAAAGCGGGGUCCCGGGUAGUACUCUGAGACCGAGUGAAAGGGGGUAAGAGAAGUCACAAAGCCAGGUCUUAAUCCUUAAGGAGAAGGAAUGGCUCACAAGACAAAGAAGUUCUGGAAAAGACAAAUACCAAUGAAGGAACAGCACAGGUGGAGACAUGGGGUCAUGGAGGAGUUGGCAGAUUUGGGAAAGGCAACGUCUCAAAAAUAAAUAUGUUUAAAAAACAGUGUCCACAGGGGACAUGUGGCGACUCCUGGAAACAUUUUUGGUUGUCACAACUGGAAGGUGCUCCUGGCAUCCAGCGGAGGGAAGCCAGGAAUGCUGCUCAGCAUCCUACGAUGCACAGGACAGCCCUUUCCAACAAAGAAUUAUCCGUCCCCAGACUGCCAUCAGAGCCAGGGUUGAGAAACUCUGGUUUGAACAUGAACUGGAUCUGAUCACUUGUGUUGAGUAAGCAUGUUAUAAGUCUCUCAUUCCUUGAUUACUUUAGUAGAAUGGACACAGGAUGUGGUGUCAAAAUUAAUUGGGAAAGCAUUUAGAACUUGAACAUCUGGCUUUCUCCCUUCUAGCCCAUAAAUAAAUACAGGAUAGUUCCCCAGUGUUUGCUGGUCUUGGUUUCCAUGGAUCGAAUAUAGCAAAUAAUACCACCUAUUUCAUGGGCUAUGUUCUUAAAUGACACAUGAAAUAAUAAAUAUGAAAGUGGUUGAUAAGGUAUUAAGAGCUGGAUAUAUACUAGAGAUGGUUGCCCUAAGACUGCUCUAAAGGAAAUAUGUCUGUAUUUUGAAAAUUGAUACAAUGCCAUUUAAUUUUUUUUUAAAAUAACAUUUUACUGAUGUGUUUAUUGAUAUUGGACAUGAUACUUACUUGAAGGAACGUAAGCGUAAAGAGAGACACUGCUUUAGCCUAUAGUAAAAAUUGUUAAUAAAAACGUGCCAUUUUGAAA